This 3983-nucleotide long non-coding RNA is filed under the name Homo sapiens (human). Its description in RNAcentral is "HSALNT0400334". The record is from RNAcentral. Lineage: Eukaryota; Metazoa; Chordata; Mammalia; Primates; Hominidae.
CAUAGCUGAGAUCUCUGGUGUAGUCCGAGGCGGCAGCGACCUGUCCACGCCACCUGAGCGUGGUGUUUGCCCCCUCGUUGGGCAAGCCCGGCAGAAAGUGGGAGCGACUGGAGGGGGCAAGGGACCCGGGGCCUCGGAGCGUGCCGUCGUGGCCGCUCCUGCCAGCCCGGGGACGGUGCGGGAAGGGGGCCCUGCCCUCCGGCCCUCGGGUUCCUGGGACCGGCCCUCCCGCCCUGCACCGGGUCACCAGGUGCCCCGCGGGAGCGCGCUGGGCUCGGGCUGUGGCCGAGACCUGGUACACGUUCGGGGAAACUGAUUACAGCUUGAAAGGCAUCCACCAACGCCUGCUGGGCCCGGUCUUCUCUGUCCGGGGCAGGGCGGCUCUGAAAAUACCAGCUAUUUGCUUGCCACUCCAGGCCGAUGACAGACGUGGAGAAAACCAGCUGCCAGCGAGCUGGAGACGCCCGUUCCCGAGGGCGCGAGGCAGCCACAGCCAAAUGCCACCACGACCCCGCCUCGGAGGGACCGCAGCCCCCUAGCCCUCGGAGAAACCCUGUUCCCGAAACCACCUGGCAGACGCUGUCCGCUUUGAGAUUACAGCAGGGAGAAGGAAACAUGCCCGUCUGGCCGGGGAGCUCAGCCACUAACCGAGACUUAGCCUCUGUCAUCCCAAUCCAGGCUGCAGCUCCAGAUAGGGGGCGUCUGCACACAGCUUCCCACACUUGGCCCCGCGGAACACAGUCCUGCUGGCCUCAGCCUGUGGGAACCCUGCUUCAUGUAAAGGUCACCUAAACUCUGCCUUCCCUCAACCCCUUCAAACUCUGCCUUUCCCUUCGUUCUUGGGAGGCGCUCCCUCAUUGCAGUGGGUCAGUACACCCGAUUUUGUGGACCACAGGUUUGCUCCUGGUGGUCUUGGGCUGAAGGGGCUGCAAAGGUUACUGAAUUUCGUGGAGGUAAAAAUUGCCCGCAGGAAAUGUCAUGAAAGUCCAGGUGCAGUAGGUUUCCUGGUGUGAUGCUUCAAAGUUAUCUUCUUACCUGGAGCCCCUUCCAGCUGCAGACUUCAGAGGUCGGAGGUUAAUCAAUCUGGAAUGACCCCACAGCCCACCCAGCUCCAGCUCGGGAUUCACUCCUGCACUAUGUCCUAGGGAUUCUGGAGCCAACAAGAUCGAACUUCGGGCACAGAUGGCAGGGCUGUGGGGUCGAGCUUGGCUGCAAGCUCCGAACACUGAUGCAAUCUCUCUGAGGGUGAUCUGGCAAUUCAGAAGUCAUAAAAAUGAUAGUGCCCUAUGACCACUUCUACCACUCUGGGGAAUUGAGUUCAAGGAAAGCUUAAGAAGACAAAAAGCAAGUUAUGCAAAUAUGUUAUCUGCUGUGGUGUGGUAAAGUUUAAUCCCCCAGCUGUGGUGCACACCUGGCAAAGAAUGGAGGCGCUGACACUUAUUGAUCAUUACUUGCAGUGUACACGUAUUAACUCCUGAUCCCUGCAAAUAGCCUGCUAUUACCCCCGCUUGACAAUGGAGAAGUUAUCUUACCCAGAUGUCAUUUCCUCUUCCUGGGAGCUGCCAUGGUCCUUCCCCUCUCCUGCAGCACUUAGUCCAAUACUGAAUCUUCAUGAUGUGACUCUUCAUAAUGCGCAUGGUUGACGCAGGAAGGAGCCCUCUCACCAUCAUGUCUCCUCACCUCCUCUGGCCGCUAAUAUUGCUGAAGUGGCUAAAUGAGUCCCAGUAUUAAUUAUCUCAGCCAUUUUCAGAGUGAUACUGAGAAGAAAUGAAAUGGAGAUAGGGAAGAAGGAAGCCGCUCCUCUCUACAGGAUGCCAAAUCAAUGCAGGAGGAGAUUCUGAGAACUACUGGACAACGGCCACAGGGGAACAGGGGAUUCAUUCCAUCUCAAAGCCUCACCCUACACAUUAUCUUUAUUAGCUAUAAAAGGGAAAAGGGAUUUGCAAUGGAGAGUUAUGGCAGACUCCAGCCUCAUGAAGUGACACAACUUAGCAUUGCCACCCAGGGGACAAACCCACACUAUGAGUCUGAUUCAGUGCACCAAGAAGGACAAACAUCACUUACUCUGCUAUAACAUAACGCAGUAUAUUAUACACUAACAUAUGUAGUAUAUUACAUUACAUAAUAACAUAGUACAGGCUUCUAGGACACAGUUUAUAGAAGUGCAGAUAAUACUUGAGGCAGUUUCCCAAACUUGCAAAUAAAAACUCUCCACAGGGCUUGUGACUAGCACAUUCCCAAAGCCCCAAACCCAGAAUUCCACCUGCUUAGUGAGCACCUCCAGAGCACUUUUUUUUUUUUUUUUUUUUGAGACGGAGUUUUGCUCUUGUUGCCCAGGCUGGAGUGCAAUGGCAGGAUCUCGGCUCACUGCAACCUCCACCUCCCAGGUUCAAGCGAUUCUCGUGCCUCAGCCUCCUGAGCAGCUGGGAUUACAGGCACCCACCUAAUUUUUGUAUUUUUAGUAGAGAUGGAGUUUCACCAUGUUGGUCAGGCUGGUCUUGAACUCCCAACCUCAGGUGAUCCACCCACCUUGGCCUCCCAAAGUGCUAGGAUUACAGGCACGAGCCACUGCGCUCGGCCAUCUCUAGGGCAUAUUUUUACUGUGCAAUGUGGGAAUCUCUGCCAUAGGGUGGGCUGCCUUUCUAACCCAGUGGCCCGGUUCUAGCAGGACUUCCCCAGUAUGUGGAUGGGGGCACAGGGACUCUUGGGGGGGCCUCAAGGCAUCUGUGAGCUAGGCCUAACCACCGCUACUGAAUGACUGCGAGAUGAGUCCCAGAGCUGGGACGAGAGUGGGCCUGGUACCCUGCCCCAGCCCUCCCCUGACAGGAGUUAGUAAGGGACAGGUUAGCAUGCUAAAGAGAUAGCAAGCUGGUCACAGCCUAGGGCCACCACCCUUCUGUCUUACAAGUCAGAAACAUGUCCUGACUUUGGGGGAGAGGGUAUAUGUUAAACGGGCCCACCCUGGGAGCUGUAGUGGUCACUGUGGAGCUGAGCACUGGGCUGCACUCCUCGCUGCCCCAGAGUGACCAGGUGGGUGGUUUCAUCCAAGAGGCAGGGCUCAGAAGGCCAGGCUGAGCCACCGAUAUGCAUGUCUGCACCCCACCACUUCCUGCUCAGUCUGUAUCAGGCCCGGGAUGAAAUCGUCACUUAGACGCUCAGGGGUCCUCCCACCCAUCUGGCCAACACAAACCUGCCAGCAUAGCACUGAGUGGAAGGUUCCAGUGCACCCACAGGCCUGGCUGUUAAAAUGUCCGGCCUCUCCAGAGGACAGGUUAAGUUCACACUGAGAAAGCCUGGCUCUCUCCAGCUAGCCUGAAUUAAAGUGAGAAGGAUGAGCACAGCACCUGUGGAAAUGGCGCUGGAAAGCAAGUGUACCUAGGAACUGCCUCUGGGCCACCGAAGUGCGCCGGCCCAGUGUUCUCAGACAACCCAGGAGGAGUCCUCCAUCUGGCCACUUCCCACCCGUUAGGCCCCGAGGGGACACCAGGUUGGUGAGACCCGGACCCCACCAGCAAAGGACCCUUCCUUCAUUCAUCACACACUGGCUCCAUCUGCACUGCACCUACUGCCAGCCAGGCACUGAGCUUCACAUCCGCACAAAACACAAAGACCUCUGAUACGGUUUGGGUCUGUGUUCCCACCUAAACCUCGUGGUGAAUUGUGAUUAUGUUGAGUUGUUUUGGAGGUAGGGCCUGGUGAGAAGUGACUCGAUGAUGGGGUGGAUUUCUCAUGAAUGGUUUAGCACCAUCUCCUUGAUGCUGUUCUUAAGAUAGUGAGUUUUCACGAAAUCUGGUUGUUUAAAAGUGUGCGCCCCACCCCUUGCUUCUGCUCUGGCCAUGUGAUCUGCCUGCCUUCCCCUUCGCCUUCCACCAUGAUUGUAAGAUUCCUGAGGCCUCCCCAGAGGCUGAGCAGAUAUCGGUACUACGCUUGCUAUACAGCCUGCAGAACUAUGAGCCAAUUAAACCUCUUUUCUUUAUAAAUUA